UUGAUCCUGGCUCAGAUUGAACGCUGGCGGCAGGCCUAACACAUGCAAGUCGAGCGGUAACAGAGAGAAGCUUGCUUCUCUGCUGACGAGCGGCGGACGGGUGAGUAAUACUUGGGAAUUUGCCUUUAGGCGGGGGACAACCACGGGAAACUGUGGCUAAUACCGCAUAAUGUCUACGGACCAAAGUGGGGGACCUUCGGGCCUCACACCUAAAGAUGAGCCCAAGCGGGAUUAGCUAGUUGGUGGGGUAAAGGCUCACCAAGGCGACGAUCCCUAGCUGUUCUGAGAGGAUGAUCAGCCACACUGGGACUGAGACACGGCCCAGACUCCUACGGGAGGCAGCAGUGGGGAAUAUUGCACAAUGGGGGAAACCCUGAUGCAGCCAUGCCGCGUGUGUGAAGAAGGCCUUCGGGUUGUAAAGCACUUUCAGCGACGAGGAAGGGUGUUGUGUUAAUAGCGCAGCACAUUG
This 469-nucleotide ribosomal RNA is filed under the name Idiomarina sp. R-28040. Its description in RNAcentral is "bacterial SSU rRNA". It matches the Rfam family "Bacterial small subunit ribosomal RNA", at positions 13 to 477 of the family's 1533-position model. The record is from RNAcentral. Lineage: Bacteria; Pseudomonadati; Pseudomonadota; Gammaproteobacteria; Alteromonadales; Idiomarinaceae.